GAUGAAAACGCAGCGAAAUGCGAUACGUAGUGUGAAUUGCAGAAUUCAGUGAAUCAUCGAAUCUUUGAACGCACAUUGCACCUCUCGGUAUUCCGGGAGGUAUGCCUGUUCGAGCGUCAUUUGUACCCUCAAGCUCUGCUUGGUGUUGGGUGUUUGUUCCGCCUCUGUGUGUGAACUCGCCUCAAAACAAUUGGCAGCCGGCGUACUUGUUUCGGAGCGCAGCACAUUUUGCGAUCCAGAUCAACGUACAGCGGCAUCCAAGAAGCCUUAUUUAACGCUCUUGACCUCGGAUCAGGUAGGGAUACCCGCUGAACUUAAGCAUAUCAAUAAGCGGAGGA
This 338-nucleotide unclassified non-coding RNA is filed under the name soil metagenome. Its description in RNAcentral is "partial contains 5.8S ribosomal RNA, internal transcribed spacer 2, and large subunit ribosomal RNA". The stretch from base 1 to 119 matches the Rfam family "5.8S ribosomal RNA", at positions 35 to 154 of the family's 154-position model. The record is from RNAcentral.